AACGAACGCUGGCGGCAGGCCUAACACAUGCAAGUCGAGCGAGGACUUCGGUCCUAGCGGCGGACGGGUGAGUAACGCGUGGGAACGUGCCCUUUGCUACGGAAUAGCCCUGGGAAACUGGGAGUAAUACCGUAUGUGCCCUUUGGGGGAAAGAUUUAUCGGCAAAGGAUCGGCCCGCGUUGGAUUAGGUAGUUGGUGGGGUAAUGGCCUACCAAGCCGACGAUCCAUAGCUGGUUUGAGAGGAUGAUCAGCCACACUGGGACUGAGACACGGCCCAGACUCCUACGGGAGGCAGCAGUGGGGAAUCUUAGACAAUGGGGGAAACCCUGAUCUAGCCAUGCCGCGUGAGCGAUGAAGGCCUUAGGGUUGUAAAGCUCUUUCAGUGGGGAAGAUAAUGACGGUACCCACAGAAGAAGCCCCGGCUAACUCCGUGCCAGCCGCCGCAGUAA
RNAcentral lists this ribosomal RNA (449 nucleotides) under uncultured bacterium. RNAcentral describes it as "partial 16S ribosomal RNA". It matches the Rfam family "Bacterial small subunit ribosomal RNA", at positions 29 to 523 of the family's 1533-position model. The record is from RNAcentral.